RNAcentral lists this ribosomal RNA (468 nucleotides) under uncultured bacterium. RNAcentral describes it as "partial 16S ribosomal RNA". It matches the Rfam family "Bacterial small subunit ribosomal RNA", at positions 28 to 507 of the family's 1533-position model. The record is from RNAcentral.
GACGAACGCUGGCGGCGUGCUUAACACAUGCAAGUCGAACGGAAAGGCCCUGCUUUUGUGGGGUGCUCGAGUGGCGAACGGGUGAGUAACACGUGAGUAACCUGCCCUUGACUUUGGGAUAACUUCAGGAAACUGGGGCUAAUACCGGAUAGGAGCUCCUGCUGCAUGGUGGGGGUUGGAAAGUUUCGGCGGUUGGGGAUGGACUCGCGGCUUAUCAGCUUGUUGGUGGGGUAGUGGCUUACCAAGGCUUUGACGGGUAGCCGGCCUGAGAGGGUGACCGGCCACAUUGGGCCUGAGGUACGGCCCAGACUCCUACGGGGGGCAGCAGUGGGGAAUAUUGCACAAUGGGCGGAAGCCUGAUGCAGCGGCGCCGCGUGCGGGAUGACGGCCUUCGGGUUGUAAACCGCUUUCGCCUGUGACGAAGCGUGAGUGACGGUAAUGGGUAAAGAAGCACCGGCUAACUACGUG